AGCCCACUAGCUAGCCCAACCACCAAUAAAAACAACCAACCAAUAUACACAAACCCAAAAGCACUAAACCUUGUAUUAAACAAACCAUUUUUCCCCCUUAGUAUGGGCGACAGAAAAGGAACUACGGAGCUAUAGAGAAAGUACCGUAAGGGAACACUGAAAGAGAGAUGACACAGACCAGUAAAGCCUAAAUAAGCAGAGAUCUAAACUCGUACCUUUUGCAUCAUGAUUUAGCCAGUAACACAUAAGCAAAAAGACAUUUAGUUUAAAACCCCGAAACUACGUGAGCUACUCCAAGACAACCUAUUAAUAGGGUAAACCCGUCCCUGUGGCAAAAGGGUGGGAAGAGCUUUGAGUAGAGGUGACAGACCUACCGAACCUAGUUAUAGCUGGUUGCCUGGGAACUGGAUAGAAGUUCAGCCUCCCGGUUUUUUUACUCACCUUUGUCCAACCCCAUAUGACACCUAAAGAAACCAUGAGAGUUAUUCAAAGGGGGUACAGCCCCUUUGAAAUAAGAUACAACUUUACCAGGAGGAUAAAGAUCAUACCAACCAAGGUAACAUGUUCUAGUGGGCUUAAAAGCAGCCACCCAAAUAGAAAGCGUUAAAGCUCAGACAUGCCACUCACCCUAUUAUACCGAUAAUUAUAUCUUAAUCCCCUAACCUUACUAGGCCUUCCCAUGUCUUCAUGGGAGUGACCAUGCUAAUAUGAGUAAUAAGAGAGCCAAAGACUCUCUCCCCGCACACGUGUAAAUCGAAAUGGACUUACCACCGAACUUUAACGGCCCCAAACAAAGAGGGUAAUGAACAACAUACCAAAUGACUAGAAGAUCACUCAACAAAACUACCGUUAACCCCACACUGGUGUGCCCUUNAAGGAAAGACUAAAAGGAAGAGAAGGAACUCGGCAAACAAACUUUUAAGCCUCGCCUGUUUACCAAAAACAUCGCCUCUUGCAAGACUAAAAAAUAAGAGGUCCCGCCUGCCCUGUGACAAUACGUUUAACGGCCGCGGUAUUUUGACCGUGCGAAGGUAGCGCAAUCACUUGUCUUUUAAAUGGAGACCUGUAUGAAUGGCAUAACGAGGGCUUAGCUGUCUCCUCUUCCAAGUCAAUGAAAUUGAUCCCCCCGUGCAGAAGCGGGGAUGAAACCAUAAGACGAGAAGACCCUAUGGAGCUUUAGAUACUUAAAAGCAGGCCGUGUCCAAAAACCCUUAAAUAAAGAACCAAACAGCUAAGCCUACCCAAUAUCUUUGGUUGGGGCGACCAUGAGGAAAUAAAUAACCCUCACGUGGAUUGGGAAGUACCUCCCUACAACCAAGAGCCCCCGCUCUAAUGAACAGAAUUUCUGACCAUCCCGAUCCGGCAAUGCCGAUUGACGAACCGAGUUACCCUAGGGAUAACAGCGCAAUCCCCUUUUAGAGCUCAUAUCGACAAGGGGGUUUACGACCUCGAUGUUGGAUCAGGACAUCCUAAUGGUGCAGCCGCUAUUAAGGGUUCGUUUGUUCAACGAUUAAAGUCCUACGUGAUCUGAGUUCAGACCGGAGC
RNAcentral lists this ribosomal RNA (1545 nucleotides) under Girella nebulosa (Rapanui nibbler). RNAcentral's name for it is "partial 16S ribosomal RNA". It matches the Rfam family "Bacterial large subunit ribosomal RNA", at positions 274 to 2622 of the family's 2925-position model. The record is from RNAcentral. Lineage: Eukaryota; Metazoa; Chordata; Actinopteri; Centrarchiformes; Girellidae.